RNAcentral lists this transfer RNA (86 nucleotides) under Mycoplasmopsis bovis. Its description in RNAcentral is "Mycoplasma bovis tRNA-Arg". The record is from RNAcentral. Lineage: Bacteria; Bacillati; Mycoplasmatota; Mycoplasmoidales; Metamycoplasmataceae.
GGUCGCUUUUGUAGCUCAUGCUAGGAUAUGAGCAUCAAGCCUUCUAAGCUUGUUGUCAGAGGUUCAGAAUCCUCUCGUGAUCGCCA